AACCCUUGUCCUUAGUUACCAGCACGUUAUGGUGGGCACUCUAAGGAGACUGCCGGUGACAACCGGAGGAAGGUGGGGAUGACGUCAAGUCAUCAUGGCCCUUACGGCCUGGGCUACACACGUGCUACAAUGGUCGGUACAAAGGGUUGCCAGGCCGCGAGGUGGAGCUAAUCCCAUAAAACCGAUCGUAGUCCGGAUCGCAGUCUGCAACUCGACUGCGUGAAGUCGGAAUCGCUAGUAAUCGUGAAUCAGAAUGUCACGGUGAAUACGUUCCCGGGCCUU
RNAcentral lists this ribosomal RNA (282 nucleotides) under uncultured Pseudomonas sp. RNAcentral describes it as "partial 16S ribosomal RNA". It matches the Rfam family "Bacterial small subunit ribosomal RNA", at positions 1100 to 1382 of the family's 1533-position model. The record is from RNAcentral. Lineage: Bacteria; Pseudomonadati; Pseudomonadota; Gammaproteobacteria; Pseudomonadales; Pseudomonadaceae.